RNAcentral lists this ribosomal RNA (311 nucleotides) under Weissella cibaria. Its description in RNAcentral is "bacterial SSU rRNA". It matches the Rfam family "Bacterial small subunit ribosomal RNA", at positions 1 to 274 of the family's 1533-position model. The record is from RNAcentral. Lineage: Bacteria; Bacillati; Bacillota; Bacilli; Lactobacillales; Lactobacillaceae.
AAAUUGAGAGUUUGAUCCUGGCUCAGGAUGAACGCUGGCGGCGUGCCUAAUACAUGCAAGUCGAACGCUUUGUGGUUCAACUGAUUUGAAGAGCUUGCUCAGAUAUGAUGAUGGACAUUGCAAAGAGUGGCGAACGGGUGAGUAACACGUGGGAAACCUACCUCUUAGCAGGGGAUAACAUUUGGAAACAGAUGCUAAUACCGUAUAACAAUAGCAACCGCAUGGUUGCUACUUAAAAGAUGGUUCUGCUAUCACUAAGAGAUGGUCCCGCGGUGCAUUAGUUAGUUGGUGAGGUAAUGGCUCACCAAGAC